This 492-nucleotide ribosomal RNA is filed under the name uncultured bacterium. Its description in RNAcentral is "partial 16S ribosomal RNA". It matches the Rfam family "Bacterial small subunit ribosomal RNA", at positions 29 to 523 of the family's 1533-position model. The record is from RNAcentral.
AUUGAACGCUGGCGGCAUGCUUUACACAUGCAAGUCGAACGGUAACAGGUUAAGCUGACGAGUGGCGAACGGGUGAGUAAUGCAUCGGAACGUGCCCGGUCGUGGGGGAUAACGCAGCGAAAGCUGCGCUAAUACCGCAUACGAUCUAAGGAUGAAAGCGGGGGACCGUAAGGCCUCGCGCGAUCGGAGCGGCCGAUGUCAGAUUAGGUAGUUGGUGGGGUAAAGGCUCACCAAGCCAACGAUCUGUAGCUGGUCUGAGAGGACGACCAGCCACACUGGGACUGAGACACGGCCCAGACUCCUACGGGAGGCAGCAGUGGGGAAUUGUGGACAAUGGGCGAAAGCCUGAUCCAGCAAUGCCGCGUGCAGGAAGAAGGCCUUCGGGUUGUAAACUGCUUUUGUACGGAGCGAAAAGGUCUCCUCUAAUACAGGGGGCUCAUGACGGUACCGUAAGAAUAAGCACCGGCUACUACGUGCCAGCCGCCGCGGUAA